RNAcentral lists this unclassified non-coding RNA (360 nucleotides) under uncultured Geodermatophilaceae bacterium. Its description in RNAcentral is "contains 16S-23S intergenic spacer region". Lineage: Bacteria; Bacillati; Actinomycetota; Actinomycetes; Geodermatophilales; Geodermatophilaceae. The record is from RNAcentral.
UCCGAGUUGACCCCGGCAGUCUCCUAUGAGCCCCCACCAUUACGUGCUGGCAACAUAGGACGAGGGUUGCGCUCGUUGCGGGACUUAACCCAACAUCUCACGACACGAGCUGACGACAACCAUGCACCACCUGUGCACGGCCCUUACGGACCCCCCAUCUCUGGGAGAUUUCCGUGCAUGUCAAGCCUAGGUAAGGUUCUUCGCGUUGCAUCGAAUUAAGCAACAUGCUCCGCCGCUUGUGCGGGCCCCCGUCAAUUCCUUUGAGUUUUAGCCUUGCGGCCGUACUCCCCAGGCGGGGCGCUUAAUGCGUUAGCUGCGGCACGGAACUACGAGCGCAAGCUUAAAACUCAAAGGAAUUGA